UAGGGAAUCUUCGGCAAUGGACGGAAGUCUGACCGAGCAACGCCGCGUGAGUGAAGAAGGUUUUCGGAUCGUAAAGCUCUGUUGUAAGAGAAGAACGAGUGUGAGAGUGGAAAGUUCACACUGUGACGGUAUCUUACCAGAAAGGGACGGCUAACUACGUGCCAGCAGCCGCGGUAAUACGUAGGUCCCGAGCGUUGUCCGGAUUUAUUGGGCGUAAAGCGAGCGCAGGCGGUUAGAUAAGUCUGAAGUUAAAGGCUGUGGCUUAACCAUAGUAGGCUUUGGAAACUGUUUAACUUGAGUGCAAGAGGGGAGAGUGGAAUUCCAUGUGUAGCGGUGAAAUGCGUAGGUAUAUGGAGGAACACCGGUGGCGAAAGCGGCUCUCUGGCUUGUAACUGACGCUGAGGCUCGAAAGCGUGGGGAGCAAACAGGAUUAGAUACCCUGGUAGUCCACGCUGUAAACGAUGAGUGCUAGGUGUUAGACCCUUUCCGGGGUUUAGUGCCGUAGCUAACGCAUUAAGCACUCCGCCUGGGGAGUACGACCGCAAGGUUG
This 550-nucleotide ribosomal RNA is filed under the name uncultured bacterium. RNAcentral's name for it is "bacterial SSU rRNA". It matches the Rfam family "Bacterial small subunit ribosomal RNA", at positions 355 to 896 of the family's 1533-position model. The record is from RNAcentral.